RNAcentral lists this ribosomal RNA (371 nucleotides) under uncultured bacterium. RNAcentral's name for it is "bacterial SSU rRNA". It matches the Rfam family "Bacterial small subunit ribosomal RNA", at positions 527 to 896 of the family's 1533-position model. The record is from RNAcentral.
AGAGGUCUCAAGCGUUGUUCGGAAUCACUGGGCGUAAAGGGUGCGUAGGUGGCGUGGUAAGUCAGAUGUGAAAGCCCGGGGCUCAACCUCGGAAUAGCAUCCGAUACUACCAUGCUAGAGUACUGAAGAGGUGACUAGAAUUCUCGGUGUAGCAGUGAAAUGCGUAGAUAUCGAGAGGAAUACCAACGGCGAAGGCAGGUCACUGGGCAGUUACUGACACUGAGGCACGAAGGCCAGGGGAGCAAACGGGAUUAGAUACCCUGGUAGUCCUGGCAGUAAACGGUGCACGUUUGGUGUGGGCGCAAUCGACCGCGUCCGCGCCGGAGCUAACGCGUUAAACGUGCCGCCUGGGAAGUACGGUCGCAAGAUUA